This 468-nucleotide ribosomal RNA is filed under the name uncultured bacterium. RNAcentral's name for it is "partial 16S ribosomal RNA". It matches the Rfam family "Bacterial small subunit ribosomal RNA", at positions 28 to 507 of the family's 1533-position model. The record is from RNAcentral.
GACGAACGCUGGCGGCGUGCUUAACACAUGCAAGUCGAACGGAAAGGCCCUGCUUUUGUGGGGUGCUCGAGUGGCGAACGGGUGUGUAACACGUGAGUAACCUGCCCUUGACUUUGGGAUAACUUCAGGAAACUGGGGCUAAUACCGGAUAGAAGCUCCUGCUGCAUGGUGGGGGUUGGAAAGUUUCGGCGGUUGUGGAUGGACUCGCGGCUUAUCAGCUUGUUGGUGGGGUAGUGGCUUACCAAGGCUUUGACGGGUAGCCGGCCUGAGAGGGUGACCGGCCACAUGGGGACUGAGAUACGGACCAGACUCCUACGGGAGGCAGCAGUGGGGAAUAUUGCACAAUGGGCGGAAGCCUGAUGCAGCAACGCCGCGUGCGGGAUGAAGUCUUACUGGUUGUAAACCGCUUUCGCCUGUGACGAAGCGUGAGUGGCGGUAAUGGGUAAAGAAGCACCGGCUAACUACGUG